RNAcentral lists this transfer RNA (72 nucleotides) under Camelus bactrianus (Bactrian camel). It matches the Rfam family "tRNA". From Rfam's summary of the family: Transfer RNA (tRNA) molecules are approximately 80 nucleotides in length. RNAcentral also lists the same sequence under 1 other name. Lineage: Eukaryota; Metazoa; Chordata; Mammalia; Artiodactyla; Camelidae. The record is from Rfam by way of RNAcentral.
AAAGGUGGAGCUCAGUGGCAGAGCGCGUGCUUAGCAUGUGCGAGGUCCUGGGUUCCAUCCCCAGCACCUCCA